GUGAUGCUUCAGGGCACAAAUACUAAAAUAGGAACAAUACAGACAAGAUUGGCAUGGUCCCUGCACAAGAAUGACACACGAAUUCAUGAAGCACUCCAUAUUUUU
Molecule: small nuclear RNA, 105 nt
Organism: Otolemur garnettii (small-eared galago)
Lineage: Eukaryota; Metazoa; Chordata; Mammalia; Primates; Galagidae
Source: Ensembl